Molecule: ribosomal RNA, 253 nt
Filed under: uncultured bacterium
Lineage: Bacteria
Description: partial 16S ribosomal RNA
Rfam family: Bacterial small subunit ribosomal RNA
Source: RNAcentral
UACAGAGGGUGCGAGCGUUAAUCGGAAUUACUGGGCGUAAAGCGCACGUAGGUGGCGACGUAAGUCGGGUGUGAAAGCCCCGGGCUCAACCUGGGAAUUGCAUUCGAGACUGCAUUGCUGGAGUACGGAAGAGGAGGGCGGAAUUCCCGGUGUAGCGGUGAAAUGCGUAGAUAUCGGGAGGAACAUCAGUGGCGAAGGCGAGUCUCUGGGAUGAUGCUGACGCUGAGGCGCGAAAGCCAGGGGAGCAAACGGG